CCUACGGGAGGCAGCAGUGGGGAAUAUUGCACAAUGGGGGAAACCCUGAUGCAGCAACGCCGCGUGAGUGAAGAAGUAUUUCGGUAUGUAAAGCUCUAUCAGCAGGGAAGAAGAUGACGGUACCUGACCAAGAAGCCCCGGCUAACUACGUGCCAGCAGCCGCGGUAAUACGUAGGGGGCAAGCGUUAUCCGGAUUUACUGGGUGUAAAGGGAGCGCAGACGGCAGUGCAAGUCUGGAGUGAAAGCCCGGGGCCCAACCCCGGAACUGCUCUGGAAACUGAGUAGCUAGAGUGCAGGAGAGGUAAGCGGAAUUCCUAGUGUAGCGGUGAAAUGCGUAGAUAUUAGGAGGAACACCAGUGGCGAAGGCGGCUUACUGGACUGUAACUGACGUUGAGGCUCGAAAGCGUGGGGAGCAAACAGGAUUAGAUACCCCUGUAGUC
RNAcentral lists this ribosomal RNA (440 nucleotides) under uncultured bacterium. RNAcentral's name for it is "partial 16S ribosomal RNA". It matches the Rfam family "Bacterial small subunit ribosomal RNA", at positions 338 to 795 of the family's 1533-position model. The record is from RNAcentral.